CUGCACACACACACACACACACACAAGACUUCCCAGCUGCCCUGUAAUAAAAUUCUCUUCUAUUUAUACUUUUCUUAGGAACCUCCAGGCCUGUGUCGACGUGCCGCAAGCAAAGAGCAUUGGGUUUUGUGUUCUGUGGGUGGGGAAGAAAGUUUUGAUUCCUCUAAUGAAAUAAAUUGGUAUAUAGCUAGCUGUUGUAUGUGUACAUGUAUAAUAAUCAGCAUCACGUCCAUAAUGAAGCGUUUAAAAGGAAACCUGCUCUGGGAUGGAGUAAAAUGUUCCUCCAUCUGGACUUCUGCCCAACACUGUUUACAAUGAUCUCUUCUCACGAGCCAGUGGGAGUUUGGCUUUUGACCUUUGCACAAAUUGCAGCCGGUGACUAAACCUGGCUUUUCAUAGCCAUGGAGAGAGGGCUACAAAUAAAGUGACAACUAACAGGAAGAUGGCACUUCCUUUUGAGAUUAGACGUCUGCGGUUUGCAGCCCACUCUCUGUAGCUGCCAGGACAGAGUGGGCGAAUGCUUCCGUCAUGGGUCAUCCAAAACCCAGCUUUCUCACACUUCUCCAACACCCCCCCAGCCCCCCUUCCUCAUUCUUUCAUUCUUUCCCUUUCUGUCUUGCUAAUUUUAGUCACCACUGACCAUAUCCUGUCUGAUUUGUGGACAAACCUGCGUUGUGUUACACAGUGUGCCAGCGUCAUGGCACCAAGUUUUUUGAUAGGAUUCAGAGCUGGACCCUGACUGGGCCUUUCCUAAUCACUGAUCAUCUUCACCUGAAGCUGUUGAAGAUGGAUUUGCGCUGUGAAGGUUUCUUCAUCUUCAGCGGUCUAACAGAGAUCAUAAGAUUUUGUGUUAAAAUAAAACUGGCAUUCAGAGCUAUUGAUGUUUCCAACCAACUCGACCAGAGCGGCAGC
Hemibagrus wyckioides is the source of this 912-nucleotide long non-coding RNA. RefSeq lists it as uncharacterized. The record is from RefSeq and is a predicted model, not a curated record. Lineage: Eukaryota; Metazoa; Chordata; Actinopteri; Siluriformes; Bagridae. The transcript has 3 exons.